GCCUUCGUGGUGUAAUGGUAGCACACUCAGCUCGUAUUCGAGAGAUCCAGAAUCGAGUCCCGGCGAGGGCA
This 71-nucleotide transfer RNA is filed under the name Stegodyphus mimosarum. It matches the Rfam family "tRNA". Rfam says of the family: Transfer RNA (tRNA) molecules are approximately 80 nucleotides in length. Their secondary structure includes four short double-helical elements and three loops (D, anti-codon, and T loops). Lineage: Eukaryota; Metazoa; Arthropoda; Arachnida; Araneae; Eresidae. The record is from Rfam by way of RNAcentral.